ACAACGGAUCUCUUGGCUCUGGCAUCGAUGAAGAACGCAGCGAAAUGCGAUAAGUAAUGUGAAUUGCAGAAUUUAGUGAAUCAUCGAAUCUUUGAACGCACAUUGCGCCCCUUGGUAUUCCGAGGGGCAUGCCUGUUCGAGCGUCGUCACACCC
This 154-nucleotide ribosomal RNA is filed under the name Golovinomyces chrysanthemi. RNAcentral's name for it is "5.8S ribosomal RNA". It matches the Rfam family "5.8S ribosomal RNA". From Rfam's summary of the family: 5.8S ribosomal RNA (5.8S rRNA) is a component of the large subunit of the eukaryotic ribosome. Lineage: Eukaryota; Fungi; Ascomycota; Leotiomycetes; Helotiales; Erysiphaceae. The record is from RNAcentral.